UACCCCACUAGUACCAAUAGGCGGCAUAGAGGAAGAAGCACUACGCCUAGGAAUCAACAACGCAAAAACUUUGUUAGAAAUUAUCCCUUUCUUUAUUGGGAUCGGGACUAAGAGGAAUGGUUGGGACAACAAACAUCCAUCUCGUUCGUACUUUGGAUACCCGUAUAACCAUCGAAGACUGUUGAAGUGACUAAUUCCUAGAAAUUAAGGAAGAUUGAGGACAAAGUUUUUGCGUUGUUGAUUCCUAGG
RNAcentral lists this unclassified non-coding RNA (249 nucleotides) under Hevea brasiliensis (rubber tree). The record is from RNAcentral. Lineage: Eukaryota; Viridiplantae; Streptophyta; Magnoliopsida; Malpighiales; Euphorbiaceae.